Molecule: signal recognition particle RNA, 267 nt
Filed under: Candidatus Pseudoramibacter fermentans
Lineage: Bacteria; Bacillati; Bacillota; Clostridia; Eubacteriales; Eubacteriaceae
Description: signal recognition particle sRNA large type
Rfam family: Bacterial large signal recognition particle RNA
About the family: The signal recognition particle (SRP) is a universally conserved ribonucleoprotein involved in the co-translational targeting of proteins to membranes.
Source: RNAcentral
AGGCACUAGACGGGGAAGUAGCGGCUCCCUGUAACCUGAAAUCCGCUAUAGCAGGGUUGAAUUCCCCAAUGAGGGAGCCGUGCUCGAUGCCGAGUCAGCGCGUAAGUGGUGUUGAAGGCUGGACUCUGCGCAAUAAGACCCUGUGAACCCUGUCAGAUUCGGAAGGAAGCAGCAGUAAGCAGGCAACCUUAUGUGCCGCAGAACCAUCUGGCCGGAGCUAACUGCCCGAAGGACGGUCGAAAUCGGUUUUCAAAGCGGGGUGUGCUU